GUGCAGCUUUGUGUAGGACUCAAGCAUUUGGAUGGCUUUGAUCCUCCUUUUGCACAUAACGAUGCCAAAUCUGGUAAUGUCCUUUUAAUUCAUAGAAAAGAACAACCACCUCUUGCAGUACUUUAACGGACGCAGUACUUUAACGGACGUACGUCUGCAAAAAAGCGAAUACGCUCUCCUUCAAAGGCCUUGCAGUUGCAAGUAGUUGUCAUUUCUUUUUAAGUGUCCACAUACUUUGCUAUUUGCAUGCCUAUAAGCUUCUAAUGGAUUCCCUCUUUUGGACCUGUCCGGUCUGAAUGUUUUCACAAUUACUGCUGCUUUUAUAUGCAAGUCGCAAACAGUAGUUACUGCAUAUUGUGCUCUUUGUUAGCACCCAUUUCUUGCAUUUUACACCCUUAACCCGCUCUGUUGCACUUAUUCCUAAUUCCCUUCAUUUUCUGGUGUUGAUUAUGUAGGAAUUGACAUCUGAGCAUGUGCUAGCAACUUUCCGAAUGAGUUAUGGGAUUGCCAUGCCGAUGUGAUAUUGAUAUAAGCAUCAAAUAGCACGUCUGAAGGGCAUUUUAAUUGGUUUUGAGGUUGUCUCAGGGCUCCAUAUCAACUUGCAAAAAAACAAUGCUUUUCUAUUAAUGUUGACCACAAAGUCAAGAACUGGCUGACAUUUUGGGUUGCAAGAUUGUAAUACUGCCAACAACUUACUUGGGCCUACCUCUUGUUUCGAAAUAUAAUGAUUUUAAUUUAUGGAAGGGGGUUGUCUAAAAAUGUGAGGGGAAGCAGAGUACAUGGAAGAUACAAUAUAUUCCUUUGGUGGUAGAGUUAUGCUGGUUAUCAGUGUGCUGAUGGUAUACCGACGUAUCUGAUGUCUUUGAUUCUAGUGCCGGUGAAGGUAGAAAAGCAACUAAAUAAAAUCAGACAUAGUUUGAUAUGGCAAGGGAGUCAAGAAGGCAAGAAAAUGCAUUUGAUUAAAUGGGAGGAUGUGAUUCAAAGCAAGAAGAAUGGUGGUCUUGGUUUUAGAAAUUUACAAGCUCAUAAUAAUAAAAGCCUUUUAUUUAAAUGACUUUGGAGAUGACAGAAGGAACUCUAGAAUGAUGGUAAAUUUAAAUAUGGAUGACGUGUCUAUGGUUGCACUACCUAGAUUGUAUCUCCACUUGGUACCACAUUUUGAAAAUUUAUAAAUAGCAGAUGUGAUGAAUUUAUGGUGAUGAAUAGGUUGAAAAUUGGAGAUGUCAGUGUUAUCAAAUUCUGGGAAGACGAAGUGGAAUGGGGAGUGCAUGUUAGCAGAAUCUUUCUCUGAUUUAUACAGCCUUGUAGUGAACAAGAAUUGCUCCAUUGUUGAACACUCGGAUGGUAGUAGCUGGAACUUCCAGUUCAGAAGGAAUUUCUAUGAUUAAAUGCUGCAAAAGGUAUUGUGGUGGAUAGUUCGUGAAGAUAAUUCAAUUUUCUGGAUGGGAAAGAUGGAUGGAAUUUGCUCUGCACGCUCCUGUUAUGAUAUGUUGCUAAAGAAAUUGUCUAGAAAUGAUGAUGUGUGGCCUUGAGAGUUAUUUAGAAGAUCAAGGCUCCUAGCAAAGUUGAUUGCUUUGGGUGGAUUGAAAUACAUUAAAACACGUUUGAUGCGGAAAAUUGCAAAGGGGAUUUGAUCUUUGCAGCUGGUGCUAUUCUUGUAAGGAAAAUGUGGAGAUAGUGAAUCAUUUAUAGCAUUUCAAGUUUGGGCGACAAAUGUGAUGUAUGUUCUUGAACUUGUGUGGGAUUCACUGGUGAUUGUGCAAGGAAAACCCUCAUCGCAAAAUCAGAAGAAGACUUGGUUGUUUAUUAAUUUCCCUUUGCAUUAUGUAAACAGUAUAGUUGGAAGGAAAUGGUAGGUGUAGGUGCUUUGGAGGAAGUUAUUUUCCUAAUUCUAAUGCUGCACUACUAUCUUGGUACUGCCUAACGGGCUUUUUUAAAUAAGAAAUUACCUUUUACUGGUAACAAAA
Long non-coding RNA from Lycium ferocissimum, 1967 nucleotides. RefSeq lists it as uncharacterized. The record is from RefSeq and is a predicted model, not a curated record. Lineage: Eukaryota; Viridiplantae; Streptophyta; Magnoliopsida; Solanales; Solanaceae. The transcript has 2 exons.